GACGAACGCUGGCGGCGUGCCUAACACAUGCAAGUCGAACGAGUGGCGGACGGGGGAGUAACGGGGGGGGUUAUGCAUUUGGAUGGGGCAUGACGAGCGGAAAGGUGUGCUAAUACCGCAUACUAGAGAUGAGCUCGGGUCAGAUUAGCUAGUUGGUAGGGUAAAGGCCUACCAAGGCGACGAUCGGUAGCGGGUCUGAGAGGAUGACCAGCCACACUGGAACUGAGACACGGUCCAGACUCCUACGGGAGGCAGCAGUGGGGAAUAUUGCACAAUGGGCGCAAGCCUGAUGCAGCCAUGCCGCGUGUAUGAAGAAGGUCUUCGGGUUGUAAAGUACUUUCAGCGGGGAGGCGUUACCCGCAGAAGAAGCACCGGCUAACUCCGUGCCAGCAGCCGCGGUAAUAC
This 405-nucleotide ribosomal RNA is filed under the name uncultured bacterium. Its description in RNAcentral is "partial 16S ribosomal RNA". It matches the Rfam family "Bacterial small subunit ribosomal RNA", at positions 28 to 526 of the family's 1533-position model. The record is from RNAcentral.